AACGCACAUUGCGCCCAUUAGUAUUCUAGUGGGCAUGCCUGUUCGAGCGUCAUUUCAACCCUUAAGCCUCUGUUGCUUAGUGUUGGGAGCCUACAGCACCUGUAGCUCCUCAAAGUUAGUGGCGGAGUCGGUUCACACUCUAGACGUAGUAAUUUUAUCUCGCCUAUUAGUCGGACCGGUCCCUUGCCGUAAAACCCCUAUUUCUAAAGGUUGACCUCGGAUCAGGUAGGAAUACCCGCUGAACUUAA
Molecule: unclassified non-coding RNA, 248 nt
Filed under: uncultured fungus
Lineage: Eukaryota; Fungi
Description: sequence contains ITS2
Source: RNAcentral